RNAcentral lists this long non-coding RNA (261 nucleotides) under Elaeis guineensis (African oil palm). RNAcentral describes it as "long non-coding RNA (EGUI_LNC050167)". The record is from RNAcentral. Lineage: Eukaryota; Viridiplantae; Streptophyta; Magnoliopsida; Arecales; Arecaceae.
CCCUCUCUCCUCCCUCUCUCUUUUCUAGAGCUGCAAUUGGGCCGGGCUGGGCCAGGUCAUAUCCCUACCCGAGCCCAGUCCAAAAUACUUUUUUCAAGCUUCGGGCAGGCUUAGGCUCGAAAAUUUGUUAAAAUUUAAAGCAUGAGCCUAAUUUGAACCCAAUCGGGCUAGCCCAAAUUUUCUUAUUUGGGCCAAAUAUUGGAGUGGGCCAAACCUACAAAAAUGAAAGGAUAAAAGACCCUCCUCAGAUCUAAGGAUGAG